This 68-nucleotide transfer RNA is filed under the name Gambusia luma. RNAcentral describes it as "tRNA-Ala". It matches the Rfam family "tRNA". From Rfam's summary of the family: Transfer RNA (tRNA) molecules are approximately 80 nucleotides in length. Their secondary structure includes four short double-helical elements and three loops (D, anti-codon, and T loops). The record is from RNAcentral. Lineage: Eukaryota; Metazoa; Chordata; Actinopteri; Cyprinodontiformes; Poeciliidae.
AGGCUUUAGCUUAAUUAAAGUGUCUGUUUUGCAAAUAGAAGAUGUGGGUUAGUGACCCGUAAGUCUUA